CCGGGGCAUCCCGGAGGCAGGAAAGGCUUCGGCCGGACAGGGAUGGGCAUGCGGCGCAUUAGGCAGUAGGCGGGGUAACGGCCCACCUAACCGACGAUGCGUAGGGGUUCUGAGAGGAAGGUCCCCCACACUGGUACUGAGACACGGACCAGACUCCUACGGGAGGCAGCAGUGAGGAAUAUUGGUCAAUGGUCGGGAGACUGAACCAGCCAAGCCGCGUGAGGGAGGAAGGUACAGAGUAUCGUAAACCUCUUUUGUCAGGGAACAAAGACUGGGACGCGUCCCCGGAUGAGUGUACCUGAAGAAAAAGCAUCGGCUAACUCCGUGCCAGCAGCCGCGGUAAUACGGAGGAUGCGAGCGUUAUCCGGAUUUAUUGGGUUUAAAGGGUGCGCAGGCGGUCUGUUAAGUCAGCGGUCAAAGCCCGGGGCUCAACCCCGGCCCGCCGUUGAAACUGGCAGUCUCGAGUUGGAGAGAAGUAUGCGGAAUGCGCGGUGUAGCGGUGAAAUGCAUAGAUAUCGCGCAGAACUCCGAUUGCGAAGGCAGCAUGCCGGCUCCACACUGACGCUGAGGCACGAAAGCGUGGGUAUCGAACAGGAUUAGAUACCCUGGUAGUCCACGCAGUAAACGAUGAAUGAUGGCUGUCCGGG
This 647-nucleotide ribosomal RNA is filed under the name uncultured bacterium. RNAcentral's name for it is "bacterial SSU rRNA". It matches the Rfam family "Bacterial small subunit ribosomal RNA", at positions 183 to 828 of the family's 1533-position model. The record is from RNAcentral.